Molecule: ribosomal RNA, 1172 nt
Filed under: Ericrocis pintada
Lineage: Eukaryota; Metazoa; Arthropoda; Insecta; Hymenoptera; Apidae
Description: eukaryotic LSU rRNA
Rfam family: Eukaryotic large subunit ribosomal RNA
Source: RNAcentral
GUGAAACCGUUCAGGGGUAAACCUGAGAAACCCAAAAGAUCGAAUGGGGAGAUUCAUCGUCAACGGUGCUGGCUCCCGUUUGUGCGCGAUGCUCCGAAUGGGCUCUCGUGGUUCCAUGGCGAGGGCACGCCACUUUCGGCCUGAACGUUCCGGCACCGUAGUCGUGCACUUCUCCCCUAGUAGAACGUCGCGACCCGUUGCGUGUCGGUCUACGGCCCGAGCGGGCGCCUGUCGCGGCGCGUUUCGCGCACGCGGCAGACCCUCGGUUGCCCGGCCGGCUGCGCGACGGUACUCACACGGUAUCGGGCCGCAACCAAUCCAUUCUCGAAUGUGUGUGCGUCAGGCCCGCCGCAAGCUCGGGCAGUUUUACCCGGAGGUACGGACCUGGUGCCGUCCCCGGGCCUGACCAGCUGUUAGCAGGCGGUGUCCUCGGACUGGCCAAGCUUCGAAUUACCGGUCGGYGACGCUCCUGCUUUGGGUACUCUCAGGACCCGUCUUGAAACACGGACCAAGGAGUCUAACAUGUGCGCGAGUCAUUGGGAUGCAUAAACCUAAAGGCGCAAUGAAAGUGAAGGUCGGCCUACGCGUCGACCUAGGGAGGAUGGGCCGCGUUACGAUGCGGCCCCGCACUCCCGGGGCGUUUCGUUCUCAUUGCGAGAAGAGGCGCACCUAGAGCGUACACGUUGGGACCCGAAAGAUGGUGAACUAUGCCUGGUCAGGACGAAGUCAGGGGAAACCCUGAUGGAGGUCCGUAGCGAUUCUGACGUGCAAAUCGAUCGUCGGAACUGGGUAUAGGGGCGAAAGACUAAUCGAACCAUCUAGUAGCUGGUUCCCUCCGAAGUUUCCCUCAGGAUAGCUGGCACUCGCUCGUUCCUCCGUGAACGCGUGCGAGUCUCAUCUGGUAAAGCGAAUGAUUAGAGGCCUUGGGGCCGAAACGACCUCAACCUAUUCUCAAACUUUAAAUGGGUGAGAUCUCUGGCUUGCUUGGAUUAUGAAGCCACGAGAUUUUGGAUCAGAGUGCCAAGUGGGCCAAUUUUGGUAAGCAGAACUGGCGCUGUGGGAUGAACCAAACGCAGAGUUAAGGCGCCUAAGUCGACGCUUAUGGGAUACCAUGAAAGGCGUUGGUUGCUUAAGACAGCAGGACGGUGGCCAUGGAAGUCGGAAUCCGCUAA